Molecule: long non-coding RNA, 350 nt
Organism: Xiphophorus couchianus (Monterrey platyfish)
Lineage: Eukaryota; Metazoa; Chordata; Actinopteri; Cyprinodontiformes; Poeciliidae
Exons: 2
Source: RefSeq, a predicted model, not a curated record
GUUGCCUCAUUGUUGAUGUUUGAAGGCGAGGUUUCACUCAGAGGCUCAGGCUGGAGUGCAGAAAAUCUGUUUUUCAGUGGGAUUCCCACAGAGUCAGAAUGUCUUGAGGCCCGGGCGGGUCGCUCUGUCCUUGGGAGCGGGGUCGGUAGAACCGUUUUGGUUGCAGCUGCUUGUUUGUUUUCUUUUGUUUUAGCAGGUAUUGAGGUUGAAGGUGGGUUUCGGCUCAGAGCCGGCCACGCUGAUUCGUCCAGGUGAGGGAUUUCUCCCUGUUAGUUGUCUCCACGGAUCUGCAGUGUGAGACUUUUGCUUCGGCUUGGCACCCAGAGCGUUCCAGGGUGAGCUGCUUGAUG